UGCACCCGUAGCUCAGCUGGAUAGAGCGCUGCCCUCCGAAGGCAGAGGCCACAGGUUCGAAUCCUGUCGGGUGCGCCAU
Molecule: transfer RNA, 79 nt
Filed under: Brucella ovis ATCC 25840
Lineage: Bacteria; Pseudomonadati; Pseudomonadota; Alphaproteobacteria; Hyphomicrobiales; Brucellaceae
Description: tRNA-Arg
Rfam family: tRNA
About the family: Transfer RNA (tRNA) molecules are approximately 80 nucleotides in length. Their secondary structure includes four short double-helical elements and three loops (D, anti-codon, and T loops).
Source: RNAcentral